ACAUUUUUAGGGACCACUCAAAACGCAACACACAACACAAUGAGAGCACUAUUUUUUUUCCUUUUAGAAUCCCCCUUCGUGAUUAAGUAGGAGGAUUGGAGAAAAUUUAGGAAGAAAAUAAAACUCUUUCUUUUUUUCUUUCUUCGAAUUUCCAUCUUCACUUUCUUCCAACCUUCACUCUUGUCCUCCACCUACAUUCCACGCUGAAACUCCUCCCACAACCCCACCAUACAAACAACUCAUCUUCAUUAGAACCUCCUCCUUCAUCUUACAACAACAACAAACCUCCGACAAACCUCUUUCCCUCACUGAACCCACCGAUUUUCUCCCUCAGGACCAACAUCAUCAUCAACAUAUAACUUCUCCAACUCACCCUCAAAAAAUUCAUGAACUUAAACUCUUCCUUCUUCAUGACUCCAACUGAAACACCAUCUUGAAACAAUGACACAACCAUGUGAAACCAUCAUUCCCACCUUCCUAAUGAAAACGAGUUUCAGACGAAAACGAACCUUAUAAAACUCGUCACACACCCUCACCUUCUUCAACAACUUUCACCAUACAACAACAACCCCAUACUCCUCCAAACUCCACCAUAAAAUGCCGACAACCAUUCCAAUCUCCUUCCACACCAACUUACCACCACGAAAAAUCAUCCACCACCUUGCUUCACCAUUACCGACAACUCAGUUUCUGCUGCAAAUUUCUGCUACAACCUAAACCACCACCAAACGACGAGCUCACCACCCUCAAGCGAGCAACAACACCAUAUAUGUUUCUCUUUUCAUCUCUGCAUUGCCGUCGUGUACCACCUCGGAGGUAGUUCAUUGUUCUGUUCAAGACGUCCAUUGUAACGUCCGGUAACUACUCGGUUCGAAUGUGUUGUUUUGCUCCGCGUAUUUACUUUCCAUUUACAAUUCAUGGUGUGUUGAGAGUGUGUGGCUGCUGCGUUUUUCCUUCGAAGCAUGCAUAUGUUUUGCUGUGCUUUUGUUGUUGCUUGAAGUUUGAUAAUGAUUGUUUUUUAUGACAUUUAAGUGUUAUAGCUUUGUUCAUUAUUUCAUUUGCCUCAUUUGCCUUGUUGAUGUCUGGUUGGAUUUAGAGAGCAAGAAAUAUAGAAAGAAGAAGAUGAACAUUAUUGUGUGUUC
This 1142-nucleotide long non-coding RNA is filed under the name Lathyrus oleraceus (garden pea). Its description in RNAcentral is "Pisum sativum (pea) long non-coding RNA (PSAT_LNC024145)". The record is from RNAcentral. Lineage: Eukaryota; Viridiplantae; Streptophyta; Magnoliopsida; Fabales; Fabaceae.